This 221-nucleotide unclassified non-coding RNA is filed under the name uncultured Thelephoraceae. Its description in RNAcentral is "sequence contains ITS2". The record is from RNAcentral. Lineage: Eukaryota; Fungi; Basidiomycota; Agaricomycetes; Thelephorales; Thelephoraceae.
ACACCUCAACUCGUUGUGGUUUUCCACGAUGGGCUUGGACUUUGGGGGUUUUGCUGGCCUACGGUUGGCUCCUCUAAAAUGAAUCAGCUUACCGGUGUUUGGUGGGUAUCAUGGGUGUGAUAACUAUCUACGCUUAUGGUUUUUCCACCAGGCAACCUUCGUCAGUGGAGGUUCACUGGAGCUCAUAGACGUCUCUCCUCAGUGAGGACAGCCCUUUGAAU